GACGAACGCUGGCGGCGUGCUUAAUACAUGCAAGUCAACGACUUUUAAGAUAGCAAAUAUUUUAAGGGGAGUGGCGCACGGGUGAGUAACACGUAGGCAAUCUACCUUUAGGACUGACACAAACUCGUCGAAAGACGGGCUAAUAUCAGAUAAUGCAGCGGCUCCGCAUGGAGACAGUUGUUAAAGUACAAGCGCCUGAAGAUGAGCCUGCGGUCCAUUAGCUAGUUGGUAGAGUAACGGCCUACCAAGGCAACGAUGGAUAGCUGGUCUGAGAGGAUGAUCAGCCACACUGGAACUGAGACACGGUCCAGACUCCUACGGGAGGCAGCAGUAAGG
Molecule: ribosomal RNA, 336 nt
Filed under: uncultured bacterium
Lineage: Bacteria
Description: bacterial SSU rRNA
Rfam family: Bacterial small subunit ribosomal RNA
Source: RNAcentral